Molecule: long non-coding RNA, 653 nt
Filed under: Callithrix jacchus (white-tufted-ear marmoset)
Lineage: Eukaryota; Metazoa; Chordata; Mammalia; Primates; Cebidae
Description: lncRNA (ENSCJAG00000082537.1)
Source: RNAcentral
UUUGGGGUUUUCUUCUCUGAAGCCCCUUCUCCUGCCAUGGGAAGGACAUACCUGGCUGGCCUGCUGGAGGAAAAGAGGCUUGGGGAGUAGAGCAGAUCAAGGUAUUUGGCAGCUGCUGGACAUAAGUUUUCCACAUCCAGUGAUUGGCUGCCUUUGAUGGACACAGGAACGCAUCACUAUAUGAACUUUAAAGGGACACAGCUUGUGAAAAAUUCCUCUGAUAAAAGUCAAGGCCACUUCAAGGGCUGGGUGCUGCUGAGAGAUGGAAUCUCUGUGCCCUUCCAUCGGGAAGUGGUCUAUGGGCAUGAGGCUCCAGGUUAGCGUUGCAUUGGAUGGUUGUAUAACGUGCUGCUUCAGGGUCCAAACAGCCACUCUUCCGCUCUUCCCUGCAUAGCUUUUACUCCCAGCAGACAUGGUUUUGAACGAGCACUUAGUCUUGCCUGCUAGAACUGUGGAAUUUCAGAUUUUCUAGAAAAACUUUAUUUAUUUCAGUAGCUCUUCUCAUUCUCUGACCAAUGACCCAACAUAGCCGUUCUGCUGCUGCUUCUGGAGACAAUUACCAUUAGCAGCAUCCAUGUUCUUGACAACCUACUCCACUAUCACAGUAAGUUGAGACAAAACACAUCGGGAUGCUUUUGACUGCAAGUGGAAGA